This 253-nucleotide ribosomal RNA is filed under the name uncultured bacterium. RNAcentral's name for it is "partial 16S ribosomal RNA". It matches the Rfam family "Bacterial small subunit ribosomal RNA", at positions 524 to 776 of the family's 1533-position model. The record is from RNAcentral.
UACGUAGGGUGCGAGCGUUAAUCGGAAUUACUGGGCGUAAAGCGUGCGCAGGCGGUGAUGUAAGACAGGUGUGAAAUCCCCGGACUUAACCUGGGAACUGCAUUUGUGACUGCAUCGCUGGAGUGCGGCAGAGGGGGAUGGAAUUCCGCGUGUAGCAGUGAAAUGCGUAGAUAUGCGGAGGAACACCGAUGGCGAAGGCAAUCCCCUGGGCCUGCACUGACGCUCAUGCACGAAAGCGUGGGGAGCAAACAGG